Molecule: ribosomal RNA, 468 nt
Filed under: uncultured bacterium
Lineage: Bacteria
Description: partial 16S ribosomal RNA
Rfam family: Bacterial small subunit ribosomal RNA
Source: RNAcentral
GACGAACGCUGGCGGCGUGCUUAACACAUGCAAGUCGAACGGAAAGGCCCUGCUUUUGUGGGGUGCUCGAGUGGCGAACGGGUGAGUAACACUUGAGUAACCUGCCCUUGACUUUGGGAUAACUUCAGGAAACUUGGGCUAAUACCGGAUAGGAGCUCCUGCUGCAUGGUGGGGGUUGGAAAGUUUCGGCGGUUGGGGAUGGACUCGCGGCUUAUCAGCUUGUUGGUGGGGUAGUGGCUUACCAAGGCUUUGACGGGUAGCCGGCCUGAGAGGGUGACCGGCCACAUUGGGACGGAGAUACGGCCCAGACUCCUACGGGAGGCAGCAGUGGGGAAUAUUGCACAAUGGGCGGAAGCCUGAUGCAGCAACGCCGCGUGCGGGAUGACGGCCUUCGGGUUGUAAACCGCUUUCGCCUGUGACGAAGAGUGAGUGACGGUAAUGGGUAAAGAAGCACCGGCUAACUACGUG